AUGUCUCGGCUAUCCAGCAUGAGUUUAAUUCCGAACUUCACAGUUGCCAAAGGUUCUAAGUGCCAUAGUUGUGUGCAAUCUAAGCAACCUCGAAAGCCUCAUAAGGCUGCCGAGGAGAGAAACUUGGCACCUCUAGAACUCAUACAUUCUGAUCUUUGUGAGAUGAAUGGUGUGUUGACAAAAGGUGGAAAGAGAUAUUUCAUGACUUUGAUUGAUGAUGCGACUAGAUUUUGCUAUGUUUAUUUGUUGCAAACUAAAGAUGAAGCAUUAGACUACUUUAAAAUCUAUAAAGCUGAAGUUGAAAAUCAACUAGAGAGAAAGAUCAAGCGUCUUAAAGUUCCCAACAAUAAUAAAGAGAAAACCCCUUAUGAGGAGUGGGUUGGGAGAAAACCAUCACUUUCUUAUUUGCGCACUUGGGGAUGUUUGGCAAAGGUCAAUAUUCCUAUUCCUAAGAAACGCAAACUUGGACCAAAGACAGUGGAUUGUGUCUUUCUAGGGUAUGCUCAACGGAGCAUUGCUUAUAGGUUUUUAGUGGUAAAAUCUGAAGUACCUGAUAUGCAUGUUGAUACUAUAAUGGAAUCUCGUGAUGCAACAUUUUUUGAGAACAUAUUUCCUAUGAAAGAUAUGCAUAGCAUUGCUAGAUUUUCUUCUGAGAUAAUUCCUAAAUCUAGUACAACUGAUGAAUAUUUCGAACAAUCACAUGAGGAAGUCCUUGAGAAGGAUAACAAUGAAGUUCCUAGAAGGAACAAGAGACAAAGGAUUGCAAAAUCAUUUGGUGAUGAUUUCAUUGUAUACCUUGUGGACGACACACCCAAGACGAUUGCAGAAGCAUAUGCAUCUCCGGAUGUAGAUGUUUGGAAAGAAGUUGUUCAUAAUGAGAUGGACUCAAUUCUUUCUAAUGGAACUUGGGAACUAACUGAUAGACCAUAUGGUUGUAAACCUGUGGGCUGUAAGUGGGUGUUUAAAAAGAAGCUAAAGCCUGAUGGUACUAUUGAUAAGUACAAGGCGCGGCUAGUGGCCAAGGGCUACACUCAGAAAGAAGGCGAAGAUUACUUUGACACCUAUUCACCCAUUGCUAGAAUGACCACCAUUCGAGUGUUACUUUCCUUGGCUGCCUCUUAUGGUCUUAUCAUUCAUCAAAUGGAUGUAAAUACAGCUUUUCUCAAUGGAGAGUUGGAAGAGGAGAUCUAUAUGCAUCAGCCUGACGGGUUUGUGGUAAAGGGUAAGAGAGAAAGGUGUGCAAGUUGUUAA
RNAcentral lists this ribosomal RNA (1251 nucleotides) under Triticum aestivum (bread wheat). RNAcentral's name for it is "partial small subunit ribosomal RNA". Lineage: Eukaryota; Viridiplantae; Streptophyta; Magnoliopsida; Poales; Poaceae. The record is from RNAcentral.